GUGAAGAACGCAGCGAAAUGCGAUAAGUAAUGUGAAUUGCAGAAUUCAGUGAAUCAUCGAAUCUUUGAACGCACAUUGCGCCCUCCAGUAUGCUGGCGGGCAUGCCUGUUCGAGCGUCAUUACAACCCUCAGGCCCCCGGGCCUGGCGUUGGGGAUCGGCGGAAGCCCCCUGCGGGCACAACGCCGUCCCCCAAAUACAGUGGCGGUCCCGCCGCAGCUUCCAUUGCGUAGUAGCUAACACCUCGCGACUGGAGAGCGGCGCGGCCACGCCGUAAAACACCCAACUUCUGAAUGUUGACCUCGAAUCAGGUAGGAAUACCCGCUGAACUUAAGCAUAUCAAUAAGCGGAGGA
Molecule: unclassified non-coding RNA, 352 nt
Filed under: soil metagenome
Description: partial contains 5.8S ribosomal RNA, internal transcribed spacer 2, and large subunit ribosomal RNA
Rfam family: 5.8S ribosomal RNA (bases 2-119)
Source: RNAcentral